Molecule: ribosomal RNA, 271 nt
Filed under: uncultured bacterium
Lineage: Bacteria
Description: partial 16S ribosomal RNA
Source: RNAcentral
CUGCUGCCUUCCGUAGGAGUUUGGACCGUGUCUCAGUUCCAAUGUGGGGGACCUUCCUCUCAGAACCCCUACUGAUCGUCGCCCCGGUGGGCCGUUACCCCGCCGGCAAGCUAAUCAGACGCAUCCCCAUCCUUUACCGGCCGAAGCCUUUGGUCAUGAAAAUAUGCAUCAACAUGACAACAUACGGUAUUAAUCCGCCUUUCGACGGGCUGUCCCAUAGUAAAGGGCAGGUUGGAUACGCGUUACUCACCCGUGCGCCGGUCGCCGAGUA